Molecule: ribosomal RNA, 540 nt
Filed under: Raffaelea sp. KACC 44403
Lineage: Eukaryota; Fungi; Ascomycota; Sordariomycetes; Ophiostomatales; Ophiostomataceae
Also listed under: 2 other names
Description: eukaryotic LSU rRNA
Rfam family: 5.8S ribosomal RNA (bases 201-354)
Source: RNAcentral
GCGAGUUCCAGCAACUCCCAACCCGUGCGAACAUACCGCGUCUCCGCCCAGGAGGGCGCCCUCCGUGCCGCCCGGCGGGCGCGCCUCUCCCCCCCCGCGGGGAGGGCGCGCGCCCGCCGGCGGCCUGCGGGGCGCCCCUCGGGGCUCUCGAACCUUCUGAAGUACCAGUAUGGCGUCUGAGCAAACCACUAAAUCGUUAAAACUUUCAACAACGGAUCUCUUGGCUCUGGCAUCGAUGAAGAACGCAGCGAACUGCGAUACGUAAUGCGAAUUGCAGAAUUCAGCGAGUCAUCGAAUCUUUGAACGCACAUUGCGCCCGCCAGCACUCUGGCGGGCAUGCCUGUCCGAGCGUCAUUUCUCCCCUCGCGCGCCCCGGCGCGCGGCGUUGGGGGCCUGCCGGCGCCCCCGCAGCUCGCUGCGGGGGAGGACGCAGCCCCUGAAACCCAGUGGCGGGCCGGCCGCGGCUCCGAGCGCAGUAGUAACCUCUCGCUCCGGACGCCUCCCCCGGGCCCCGCCAGGAAACCCCCAAUCUUUACAAGG